CAGUUCUAGGGUCAGCUCAUGCAUGGUGUUUGUGUGCCCACAAUAAUUCAGCACCUUGGCUUUCUGCCAAUGAUCUUGGAGUUCCAGAAAUUAUAGACAUGAUUAGACCUCUAUAUACAGCUAUAAAAUUUAUACUAUUAUAAUACUAUAUCUCCCUUAUAACCAAAGGUUAAUAUUACCGCUUUAAGAUGAUAAUUUUUAUCUCGGUGAGUAGUAGGAAAGGUAAUGACUUUUCUAGCAAUAAACCGUAGUCGUAACUGGAAAGUUGAUCGACCACAUUGGGUCUGAAAAAAACCCAAUGCUUUUAUGUACAGCAGUGAGGAAUAUUGGUCAAUGGCCGAAAGGCUGAACCAGUAACUUGGAAGAAUGUCUAUGUAACUUGUAUUGUUACAUUCGCGAUUAACUCGCAUAAAAUUCUAAAUAGAUUGUAUAUAAUGACAUAAUCUAUUUAUAAGUCUUGACCAAACUACGUGCCAGCAGUCGCGGUAAUACGUAGGAGGCUAGUGUUAGUUAUCUUUAUUGGGUUUAAAGGGUAAGUAGACGGUAAAUUAAACUCUAAAAGAGUACUUUUUUACUAGAGUUAUAUGAGAGAAGGAAGAAUUUCUGGAGUAGAGAUAAAAUUUGAUGAUACCAGGAGGACUGUCAACG
RNAcentral lists this non-coding RNA (648 nucleotides) under Penicillium nalgiovense. RNAcentral describes it as "Bacterial small subunit ribosomal RNA". It matches the Rfam family "Bacterial small subunit ribosomal RNA", at positions 34 to 714 of the family's 1533-position model. The record is from Rfam by way of RNAcentral. Lineage: Eukaryota; Fungi; Ascomycota; Eurotiomycetes; Eurotiales; Aspergillaceae.